AGUGAACGCUGGCGGUAGGCCUAACACAUGCAAGUCGAACGGCAGCACAGUAAGAGCUUGCUCUUACGGGUGGCGAGUGGCGGACGGGUGAGUAAUACAUCGGAAUCUACUUUUUCGUGGGGGAUAACGUAGGGAAACUUACGCUAAUACCGCAUACGACCUACGGGUGAAAGCAGGGGAUCUUCGGACCUUUCGCGAUUGAAUGAGCCGAUGUCGGAUUAGCUAGUUGGCGGGGUAAAGGCCCACCAAGGCGACGAUCCGUAGGUGGUCUGAGAGGAUGAAUAGCCACACUGGAACUGAGGCACGGCCCACACUCCGACGGGAGGAAGCAGUGGGGAAUAUUGGACGAUGGGCGCAAGCCUGAUCCAGCCAUACCGCGUGGGUGAAGAAGGCCUUCGGGUUGUAGAGCCCUUUUGUUGGGAAAGAAAAGAAGCAGGUUAAUACCCCGCUGUUCUGACGGUACCCAAAGAAUAAGCACCGGCUAACUUCGUG
RNAcentral lists this ribosomal RNA (492 nucleotides) under uncultured bacterium. RNAcentral's name for it is "partial 16S ribosomal RNA". It matches the Rfam family "Bacterial small subunit ribosomal RNA", at positions 29 to 507 of the family's 1533-position model. The record is from RNAcentral.